GUUUGAUCCUGGCUCAGGAUGAACGCUAGCUACAGGCUUAACACAUGCAAGUCGAGGGGCAGCAUUUCAGUUUGCUUGCAAACUGGAGAUGGCGACCGGCGCACGGGUGAGUAACACGUAUCCAACCUGCCGAUAACUCGGGGAUAGCCUUUCGAAAGAAAGAUUAAUACCCGAUGGCAUAAUUAGACCGCAUGGUCUUAUUAUUAAAGAAUUUCGGUUAUCGAUGGGGAUGCGUUCCAUUAGGCAGUUGGUGAGGUAACGGCUCACCAAACCUUCGAUGGAUAGGGGUUCUGAGAGGAAGGUCCCCCACAUUGGAACUGAGACACGGUCCAAACUCCUACGGGAGGCAGCAGUGAGGAAUAUUGGUCAAUGGGCGCAGGCCUGAACCAGCCAAGUAGCGUGAAGGAUGACUGCCCUAUGGGUUGUAAACUUCUUUUAUAUGGGAAUAAAGUUUUCCACGUGUGGAAUUUUGUAUGUACCAUAUGAAUAAGGAUCGGCUAACUCCGUGCCAGCAGCCGCGGUAAUACGGAGGAUCCGAGCGUUAUCCGGAUUUAUUGGGUUUAAAGGGAGCGUAGGUGGACAGUUAAGUCAGUUGUGAAAGUUUGCGGCUCAACCGUAAAAUUGCAGUUGAUACUGGCUGUCUGAGUACAGUA
Molecule: ribosomal RNA, 653 nt
Filed under: uncultured bacterium
Lineage: Bacteria
Description: bacterial SSU rRNA
Rfam family: Bacterial small subunit ribosomal RNA
Source: RNAcentral